AUGGGAAGUCAUGCGGAAUCCCUACAUGUGCAUGAUGUCAUGGUACGGGCUAUUGUGCCUCAAGCCCGUCCGUGGGAAGUGCUUAGGUGGUGCUGUGUGGAGAGGUGCCCAAAAGUGGAUACCAUCUUCCCUGGGAAUUCAUACAAAUUUACUGCAUUGGAGACCUUCUGGGUGUCGGAUCUCCUAAUGGCCCGCUCAAUUUUGAGUAAAGUUUCACGCCUUAAUCGAUAUGGCAGUACUGGAUCCUUCCAAAAUUUACAGCACCUUCAGCUGCGUUCAUGCCCCAGCCUCCAGUUUGUGCUCCCUUUGUGGGUCUCCUCCUUCCCCAGCUUGGAGACCCUCCACAUCAUCCACUGCGGCAACCUCAGCCACGUCUUCGUACAGGACGAAAAAUACCCUAAAGAAAUGACUACCUUUGGUGUACUAUUCCCGAAGCUGGCGACCAUCCACCUGCACGACCUCCCGAAGCUGCAGGAGAUAUGCGAGGUCGAGAUGGUGGCCCCUGCGCUUAAGAGCCUCAAGAUCAGGGGAUGCUGGAGCCUGCGCAGGCUGCCAUCCGUGGGUGCCCGUGGCCGUGGCGAGAAGAAGCCGGCCGUCGAGAUUGAGAAGGACGUGUGGGACGCUCUAGAGUGGGAUGCCAGUCACCGCCCUGACCACUUCGAGGCGCCGGUCCACUCGCGCUACUACAAGGAGAAGCUGCCCAGGGUGUCCGUCCUCAGGUACUAA
Molecule: ribosomal RNA, 726 nt
Filed under: Triticum aestivum (bread wheat)
Lineage: Eukaryota; Viridiplantae; Streptophyta; Magnoliopsida; Poales; Poaceae
Description: partial small subunit ribosomal RNA
Source: RNAcentral